Molecule: long non-coding RNA, 8680 nt
Filed under: Malus domestica (apple)
Lineage: Eukaryota; Viridiplantae; Streptophyta; Magnoliopsida; Rosales; Rosaceae
Description: long non-coding RNA (MDOM_LNC020659)
Source: RNAcentral
AAAAGCAAUUGGAAAUCGUUUUGAAUGCAAGUAUAACAUGUGUGGAGAUGAAACCCUUAGCUAGCCUUACAUCCAUUUAUUUAAAUCAAAUUCGUUUUCAAAAUCUGUCUAGUUUACAAAGUUUGUUUUGUUUUUAAAUUCGUCCAAAAUCAAUCCCCCUUCACUUUGUUGAGUCAUAGUAGUUAGAAUUCACUUUAGUUUGUGUUUUUAAGUGUCUUAGGUCAAGUUAAAACCAAUUUUCGUCCAAGUUUGUGUCUAGUGUUCAAAACUCCCCAGAUUGUGUUUUUAACACAGUUUUGAGUGUUUAUUUGCUGUUUUGAGUCUUUUGGUUUGUUUUGGUGUUUUAAAGUUUAGUUUUGCAUUCUUUGAGUCUAAUUUAGUGUUUUAAACUUGUUUUUACGUAUUUGAGUCAGUUUUUAAGUGAUUUAGCAAUCCCUCCUAAUCUCCGGCCUAGAACGAUCCCUACUUACAUACUUGCUACAAUUGAGAGGGUUAAUUUGAGUGCUAGUUAAUUUUCACAUCACAUGAUACUUAUGCCAGGAAUUUACUUAACACGAUUGUGAUUAGCAACCUCCACUACUUAAGAAUAUAAGUUCAUAACGAUUAGGUGAAACUCCCUUAUAUCCUAGCAUCAGAUUUAUGCAUGAAAAUUAAGUGUGCACUCUCAACCCAUAUGCAAAAACAAGUUUUAAUUCAAACAACUAAGUAAAUUGAAUUCACAAUUUAUGAAAUUACAACUGGAUGUAAUCAAAUCAUAUUGCAAGUAUAGUCAUGGUUUCGAAAUUCCCCCCAGCUAAGAAGGGUUUAGUUCCUCAUACUUGCAAAACAAAGAUUAUUAAACUUAAACAUUGAAAACAAAAGAAAGAUUACACCUAAAAACAUUCCAGCAACUCUAACUUGAAAUGGCAAGCACGUCCAAGGGCUUUCCUUCUUCUUCUUUGCUACGGCACAAGGUAUGGUUGAUGAUUUUUGUGGUGAAUUAUGGUGGUGGAUGAGUGAUGGGUGAUGAGAGUAUGAAGGGUGCGGCUGGAUGUGUGUAUUGGAGAAUGGAUGGAAUAUGGUUGAAAAGCAUGAAUGGUAGACAAUGGAUGUGGGGUGGUGUGGAUGAAUGAUGAAUGUCCAAUGGCUGUUACACACACUUACUUAAAUAGCAAAAUAUGUCAAAACACUAGGGAAAUACAGCUAGGGUGCGGCAGAAAAACCAAGGGAAAGAAAGUAAUGAUUGUAGAAGGAUUUUUUACUCUAAAUCAAAUCAGAAUCCAAGGAAAAGGUUAAGGGGACAAGGAAGGGGACACAAGGCAAGGGAAAGGGAAAGGUUAUGACACAAUAGUGAAAGUGAAAGUGAAAGUGAAAUUUGUGACAGAAAUCUAGAAGAAAGGGGAAGGAGUGCACAGCUAGGGAAAAGAAAGGGAGUGGUGUGACAAGGAAAAGGGAAGGAAAGGCAAAAGGUUAAGGCUGCAAGGAGGGAGACAUGGAUGUGUGCAUGGCAAGGAAGGUGAAAGAUGGUGGAAUGGUUCAGCAAGGGGACAAUGAAGGGGACAAGGGUGGUGUGGAAGGCAAGGAAGGGGAAAGUGAUAAAAUGGUGCACCAAUGAGACAAUGGAGGGGACAAGAAUGGUGUGCACGGCAAGGAAGGUGAAAGGUGGUGUGACACCCCUUUGUGGCUGAGAUUAAGGCUGCUAGAAUCCUUUAUUUAGUGUCUUAAUAUCUUUGGAAACCCUCAUUGUGGCUGGAACUUAGUUGGAUUAGGAUUAAGAAAGGUUAAAUCAAAAUAAGGUAACUUGACUCAUGUUUCUUCUUUUCUUGCUGAGCGCUUUAUCUUCUUUAAAUUAAUACUUCUUUCUCUUUAACACAUUCCUAGCCUCUUUAGUCUUCAAUUUCAUCUAUCCACCUUGCUCCAUGCAUGUGCUAUCCAUUCCAAGCCCAAAAAUGCUCCAAAAUGCACCUUAUUGCUUCAUAAGGCCUAUGGACCUACAAACAGAUGAAAAUAGCUUAAAAUACUAAAAUAACGAAGAACUAAUUAAGUAAAUGCAAGGAAACAAGCUAAUUAAGUCGUAUAAAUAUGCUCCUAUCAAAUUUCCCCACACUUAGCUUUUGCUAGUCCUUGAGCAAAACAAAACAAAACCUAAACCUUCCAACAUUUGCCUCAGGGAUUUCCAAUGAAACAUGACAUGCCAAAAUCACUACUUACAUGAAUUUUAGCAAUCCUUACUCUCGAGCAUACACUUAAUCAUAGUCACCAUUCACUAGCUCACAUUUAAUCAAUUAAAACAACAUUUUGAAUGUAGUAACAUGCCUUAGAGAAUUCCCUCAAGUCCUCACCAGAUUCUCUCUUAUUUUCACACAAGACUUUCUGACUACACUCCCUAUACUAGGUAUAUGUGAGAAGAUUGAUGUAAAUAUGAAAACUAGUACUCACAUAUGUUUAUAACAAAGAGAGCAAUUUCUGGAAUUAUUAAUGCAUGUAUAUAUAUGAUCUCAUGAACGGAAUGCCACUACUUAGAAGCGAGAACUAGGGAUUCCAUAUGCUCAUACCAAUUCCAAACUCCACAUAUUGAAACACACAACACUCAAUAUAGAAGUUAAGGGUUGUAACGGGGCUAAGGGUAUUGGCUAACAAAGAAAGGUAAGGGAUAAACAAAAGUUCUUAAAGAAAUAGCAAGCAAAGUAAUAAAAUUGACACUUAGAAUUCACUUUCGAAUGCAAAAAUCAACUUUAAACACAAGGGAAGAUUUAUGCAAUACUUAGGGUCAAAUUCAAACUUUUGGACCCUUUCUUCAACAACCAUCACAUGUGAGUUCAUUCUCACUUAUUUUCAACUGUUUUUCAUUUUUUUCACACACUUUUUCUUUUCUUUUUCUUUUUCCACAAAUUUUUUUUAUUAUUAUUUUUUAAAACCAUGCCCUUUUCUUUGGCACACAGAACAUACAUUUUGAAAUCCUUCCCCCACACUUGUUUUUCUGCAAAAAUCAAAAGGAAUUCCCUCUAAGUCAUGCUUCACUAUUCUUUAAGAACAAGGGUAUUGGUAGUCCUAAUCUAGGCUAGGUAGGGAUAAUGUGGUUAACAAAGAAAAUAGGCUGACAAAGGCUCAAAGGGGUUAAACCUACAAAACAUAUGAUAAAGGGAUAGGCUUUUUGGCUCUAGUUUAACUAAACAACUUCAUCUUGAAUAUGUGUUAUGCACUCAGUAUCAUGCUUUGAAUGGAACGGGCAUGAGUUCUAGUAUUUGGAUCUAUAAUGAUGAAAACCAAGCAAAGAAUAAUACAAUCAUGCAACGACUUUAGAAAACAAGAAUGCACAGAUUAAUAACUCUCCAAAUAAACUUUUAGGCUCAAGUCUCUCAGGGAUGUAGCGUUAAUUUGAGUUCCUUCCUUCAAGCAUGUUACAAAAACUGGAUUUUUUCAUUUGUGAUUACAUGUGAAUUCGUAAACUAUAACUAUAACCAAGCAUAAACCAAAGAGCAUAUCAAACUUUCAUCCAUGUUUGUAACUUUCUUUAACAGUCAUGCAAUUAAAAACCAAAUCCUCAUCAUUGUGUUGGAACGUACCCUAAGACACAAACACACAAAAACAACUCUAAAACACUCUUUUUGGGUAUUUUUUAAAAGGAUUUUUCAAAUUUUUUUUUUUAAUUUUCGGAUUUUCUGCUAUAGGACACAUUAAAACACCUCAAAACACACUAAAACACAUAAAAACAGUGAGAAACAACUUAGAAGUGAUAGGUGAUAAAAUCCCACGAAAAUCAUGCAAAAACAGCUUGUUUACCCCCCCCCCCCCCACACUUAAACUAAACAUUGUCCUCAAUGUUUCAAACAUAGACUCACAAAAGCAAACAAACAAACAACAAACAAAGCAUGGCAAAAUAAAUGCAGUAAAGAGAAGGUUUUAGGAACACAAAUCUAGUUUUGGAGUGAAAAUUCCAUCUUCUCCUUGUUGAAUGCAUGGGUUGCCUCCCAAUAAGCGCUUGCUUUAACGUCUUGCAGCCAAACGAUGCUUCCAUUCAAACUCCCCUAGGUCCCAUGGCAUGUAAUUGAUCUUUGAAUAGAAGGUGAUACUUGAAAUGAUCCGGCAUUGGUUCAAAUUCUAGAGUGGGUGCCUGAAUCAUCAAAAUCAACAUGUUAGUAUAAAACGUAAUGGAAAUUGGAGAAGAUGACUUACUUGCUUUGUCCGACAAGAACUCGAUGACAAACACCACUUCUUUGAAAGUUUCAGGGAGAUUGGACUUGGCCAGAUUUAAUGUGAUGGUUGUGACUUGUCCUGUGUCAUAAAAUCCAACUUCUUUGGGAAUUUUCGUCUCAAGUAUAUUCUCUUUGAUGAAUUCUAGACAUUCCCCAUCCACUUCUUGCUUUUGAUUCUUUGGAAAGGUUUCGAAUAUGCCUUUCUCACCCUCUUAUUCCUUGGAUUGCAUGAUCCUGCAAGGAAUAAGGACAUUUGGUGGAACAGGGUCAGGACGAAUGGAAUUUGGGCUUACCUUGGUUGUAGUGGACGACAUAGAGGGCAUAUGGGGCUGCGGCAAGGGUGUUGGUACUAGGAUAGGCUGUGGCAAGGGUGGUUCUUCGCUUGUCGUGGCCUUGUUAUCCUCAUCUUCUUCGAGUAGCAGUUGUUCAUCCAUGUUUUGGCUUGGUUUGGAUGUCUUGGGUUAAUCUCUAACCUCCAUGCGACUUUCCAAGGUGAUAGCUUCAGCAAUUUCAACAAUUAAGUCAAAUAGUUCACUUUGUUCUUGUAUUUGCCCCAUGAAUUCCAUGAUCUCUCGCUUUUGAUUCUUCAAUUCGCUCAUUACUUGGGCUUGAUUUGCUAUUCAAUGAUUUUGAUUUUGUAAUCCCUGCGAUACAUAAGUUAGUAAUUAAAUAGCUUGAUCAUUAUCAAAUAAUGAACCUGAAUUUGGUUGGACAUAUUGUUGUGGGGGAGGCUGUGGUGGUGCAUAUGGCUACCAAUAUUCUCCUUGUUGAGCAUCCUUGGCUUGAUUUUGUGAGCCCUGCACCAAAAAUUUAAUUCAUCAAAAAUUCAAUCAUAAUCUAUUAACGAACCUAAGUUUGAUUGAGCAUAUUGUAUAUGAGGCUGUGAUGGCUGCAUAGGUCUUGAAUAGAACUUCUCAUAUGGCUGCCAAUGUCCUUCGUGUUGAACUUGUUGAGCUUCCCACCACAUAGAGUUUGAAUGAUCACUCCAAUCUCUUUGUGGAUAUUGAUUGGCUUGAUAUCCUUGCCUAUAAGACGCACCAAAUGUAGGGACACUUUGCAUUGUGGUCCUUUCGGCAUACUACGACAAUUGAGAAGUAAGAUUUGCCAAUUGAGCUUGAAUGUUAGUAAUUGCCAUGUCUUGCUUCUCUAGUACCUAAAAUCAAAGAAAGAAAACUAAAUCAAAUAUCAAAAGUAAAUUAAACAAAACAAGGUAAUUAGCAAAACAAAUGGUGCGAAAUAUAUAAGCACACAAAUUAAACCCUCUUUUGACAAUUGUAGUAUAUGUAUAAGUAGGGAUAGUUCUAGACCGGGGAUUAGGAGGGAUUGCUAAAACACUUGAAACUGACUUGAAAACGUAAAACUAAGUUUGGAACACUAAACUAGACUCAAAGAAUGCAAACCUAAACUCUAAUAUACUAAAACAACUCAAAUGACUCAAAACAACACAAAACAAGCUAAUAAACUCAAAACAGACACUAAGAGUAAAUUUGGACAAAAAUUAGUUUUAACUUGACUUAAAACACUUAAAAACACAAACUAAAACAGUUUCUAACUAAUGUGACUCAACAAAGUAAAGGGGGAAUUGGUUUUGACGAAAUUGAAAGUAGAACAAGUAAAUUAAAGACAGAGAAUCUGCACGAAAUUAGGGAAAAAUAUGGAUGAUUGGUUAGCUAGAGUUCCUUCUCCACACAUGCCACACUUGCAUACAAAUUGAUGUUCAGUUGUUCUUUCGAUAAACCAUAAACCUCAAUGCCCCAGAUUAACCAUGAAUUUAACCCUCAGAUUUUCGUAUUUUCAUUGAAUUGGAUGAUUGCAUGCGACAACCCAAAUUAUUCCUCACAAGUUCCCUACAUGAAUUGCAUAAUAAAGAUACGAGCAAAGAUCAUUAAGUUCUAUGAAAAUCAUAAGCAUUGACAAGGCACUUGUAACUAUGAAUUGCAUGAUACUUAUGCCAGGAAUUUACUUAACACGAUCGUGACUAGCAACCUCUACUACUUGUGAAUAUAAGUUCAUAACGAUUAGGUGAAACUCCCUUAUAUUCUAGCAUUAAAUUCAUGCAUGCAAACUAAGUGUUAACCUUUAAUCAACAUACAAGAAUAAGUUAUCAAUCAAGCCAUUAAGUAAAUUGCAUUCAAGGUUUAUGAAAUCACAACUGAAAGUAAUCAAUUCAUAUUGCAAAUAUAUUCAUGGCUUUGAAUUCCCUCUAGCAAAAACAGGUUUAGCCACUCAUGUUCACAGAACAAAGGUAAACAAAUUUAUACAUUGAAAACAAAUGAAAGAAAACACCUAAACGCUCCAGCAAUCCAAUUUGAACAACAAGUACAUCCAAGAACUUUCCUUCCCUUCCUUUGCUGCAGCACAAGUAAUGGGUGAUGGUUUGGAUGGUUAUAUGUAUGGAAGAAUGGCUUAAGGUUAUGUAGGAGGUGCGGCUAGAAGUAUAGAGAUGGAUGUAUGGAUGAAUGGUUGGUGUAUGGCGUGAUGAGUGGUGAAUGAGUGCGGCUGGAAGUGGAUAGAUGUGUAGAAUGGUGAAUCCUCAAUAGAUGCGGCUAGGGUGUUUAUUUAAAGACUUUAGGGUAUUUAAGACUAGGAAAUAAUUUAGGUAAAAAAAAUUAAACCAAAACAUAAAGGGAAAUAGGAAUUAAAGUCAGAAUCCUUAGGAAAAUGUAAAGGGAUAUGCGGCAAGGAUCUUUAGAGAAGGGAAAAGGGUAUGUGAAACAAGAAAAAGGAAAGGAAGGCUCUCCCUUGCACGGCAAGGAAGAGCAAGGACAAGGGAGGCAUGGCAUUGCUUUAAAUGGUGCAAGGAACCUUUGGUUUGUGUCCUAAAAUGCAUAGGAGACCUUCAAUGUUGCUGGAACUUAGGGACAUUUAGGAUUAGGAAAGGUCAAACCAAAAUAGGAAACCUUGGUUAACUUUCCUACUUCAAGUAGGAAUCCUCAUUCUUCUAGGAAUCCUCUUUCAAUUAGGAAUCUUCACAUCUUUAGGUCUUUAAUUUCGUCCAUUCCUUUAGCUCCAAGCAUGUGUCAUCCAUUCCAAGCCCAAUUUUGCUCCAAAAAGGCUCCAAAUGCACUUCUUUGCCACAUUAGCCAUAUAAACCUGAAAUUGCACGUAAACACUAAAAUAACUAAGGAAUAACAACAAAAAUGCACAAGAACAAGCUAACUAAGUCGCAUAAAUAUGCUCCUAUCAACAAAGAAAACAAGAAAACAAAACAAAGUCAGAAACUAAAAACAAAAGACAUGAAAAAGAAACAAAAAGAAACAACGGGGUAUUAGCAAAGUUGCUAAUCCCCGACAAUGGCACCAAAAAUUUGAUGCGAAAUAUAUAAGCACACAAAUUAAACCCUCUUGUUGACAAUUGUAGUAUAUAUGUAAGUAGGGAUCGUUAUAGGCCAGGGAUUAGGAGGGAUUGCUAAAACACUUGAAACUGACUUGAAAACGUAAAACUAAGUUUGGAACACUAAACUAGACUCAAAGAAUGCAAAACUAGACUCUAAUACACUAAAACAACUCAAAUGACUCACAACAGCACAAAACAAGCUAAAUGACUCAAAACAGACACUAAAAAUGAAUUUGGACGAAAAUUGGUUUUACCUUGACUCAAAACACUUAAGAACACAAACUAAAACAGUUUCUAACUAAUAUGACUCAACAAAGUAAAGGGGGAUUUGGUUUUAACGAAUUUGAAAGUAAAACAAACUGAUUGUAAACUAAAACAAAGUUUGGAUGAAAUUGGGUAAAUUGGAUGGAUGAUGGGCUAGCUAAAGGGUUCUUCUCCAAACAUGACACACUUGCAUAUGAAUCGAUUUCCAAUUGUUUCUUUCAAUAAACAAUAAAUCUCACCACCCCAGAUUAAUUAGGUACGCUUAAAUUAACCCUCAGAUUUUCCUUAUAUCAUUGAAUUGGACAAAAAAUAGCGCAUUGCAAUCAAAUUAUUCUUCAAAAGUUCCCUACAUGAAAGCGCAUAAUAGAGAUACAAUCAAAGAUCAUUAAGUUCUAUGAAAAUCAUAAGUAUUGACAAGGCAUUCGUAACUAUGAAAGCGCAUGAUACUUAUGCUAGGAAUUUACUUAACACGAUUGUGACUAGCAACCUCCACUACUUAUGAAUAUAAGUUCAUAACGAUUAGGUGAAACUCCCUUAUAUCCUAGCAUCAUAUUUAUGUAUGCAAAUUAAGUGUGCACUCUUAACCCACUGAUAUGAUAUUUAACUAGCACUCAAAUUAACCGUCUUUUUAUCAAUUGUAGUAAGUAUGUAAGUAGGGAUCGUUCUAGGCCGGGGAUUAGAAGGGAUUGCUAAAUCACUUGAAAACUGACUCAAAAACGUAAAAACAAAGUUUAAAACACUAAACUAGACUCAAAGAAUGUAAACCUAUAACUUAAAACACCAAAACAAACCAAAAGACUCAAAAUAACACAAAAACACUCAAAACUUCCUCAAAACCACUUUCUGGGCAGUUUUGAACUCUAAACAAGAUUUUGACGAAAAUAGGUUUUAACUUGACUCAAAAC